UGAUUGAUUAUCCAGAACUUGAGGAAAAAAUUCAUAUUUGGGUUUAAAAUUUUAAGGAUGGCUUCGCGCUUAGGUUCAUUUACAAAAACUAUUUUUUCCAAAGCAAUAGAACAAAAUUUAAAUAGAAAUAAACAGAAAUCUAUUUCAUAUCCGGUAUCAAAAAUAGAUUCUGUAGAGGCCGUUGUAAGAGAACAAUCCAGAAAAAAAGAUCAAACCAUUAAAAUGCGAAGCGAGUGGGUUGGAAAAAAGCGUUCCCAAUAUGCUGCUCCAAUUAUUGGAAAUCAUAGUGAUUAUGAUGAACGUUAUACAAAAACAGAAAAAACUGAAAGAACUGAUGACCAAAAGUAUCCAAAAAAAGUACCAGAUCUGGCUUUUCAGAAAGAUAGUAUGAAUUCGUUAAUAAGAAGUGGGAGUAAUGUGGAAAAACCCAAGGCCCUAAACACAUGUUACCUGCCGGAACACAUACAUAUGUUGAAAAUCACAGAGUCUUGGAAAAAAGAACCACUAUACAAACGAUUGCAGAGACUAAUCAAUGCAAACCAAAAGAACUAGAGCUUCUAUAACAACAUGUAUACUCCUAAAAUGAAAAAGUCGUAUUUAGAAAAUCUUACUCAACCAAGUACUAAAUUUUAAUAUCCGUAUAUUGAAUAAUACAUCUUGAAGAAGCAAUUGCUUCAAUUUAAAGAAAAUCAUCCUAAUUACUUGCGGUUAAGUGUAAUCUAUCUGAGCUUUCCAGGCAUUAUUGAAACAAUAUACAGCAUAUUAAUAAGUCAUUGGAGUAUACAGUAUGCAGCUCUUAAAAAGUGAAGGUUAAUUGAAUAUGAUUUCAAGAGAAAGUAAAUUUCACUAAUUCUUUCGAAAAAAUUUUAAAUUAAUUCUAGUUCUCUUCAAGCUAUAUUUAUGCACAUGGGAAAGGUACUUUUUCACUUAAGGAUCGAGCUGCAGGACUGAAUAUUGAGAAUGAGAAUAAUACUGGAAUUCUGUCAAAUGUAAUCCCUGCUGUAGAAUAAAUUUUAGGAUAAGCUAUUCCUCAUGAGACGAUCUGAUCUGAACAAAUCCAAAGAAGCUUAGUGUGACGAUUAAAAGAACUGAUCCAUACAACAUCAUUUUCAUAUACGAAUACGGCAGGGAUUCUUUUUUAUUAUCAACUCGUCAUUGACGAUCUAAUCAAUAUUAACUGAAGAAAUAAGUUCUACUUGGCGGAGACGACUUAGUCUGUAUAGAUUAUUGAUCAGUUCAGUGUCUUGGUCUUAUAUUGAUGGGACUGGGAUGUAUUACUAGUACUAUCAAAUUGUCGCUUCUAAUACUAUUGCACCAUUUUCUGAAUACAAACAAUAUUAAAUGUAAUAUUGUUGGUAUGGAGAAAUGUUUUUGGAAUAGAUUUAGUAGCUGAUGGUUGGUAUCUCCGGUUGAAACUGCAACGAACUAAUUGAUAUUACUUAACAAAAAUAGAGAUAAAAUCUAAGCGCAUUAGUGUGAAGCCAUUUAAAAAUAAAACUU
Molecule: long non-coding RNA, 1500 nt
Organism: Teleopsis dalmanni
Lineage: Eukaryota; Metazoa; Arthropoda; Insecta; Diptera; Diopsidae
Exons: 4
Source: RefSeq, a predicted model, not a curated record